CACCGAUUUUAGGUUUUGGUUUUUCCCAACACUUCCGAGUUGCAAUAUGUGUAGUUUAUUCUUCGUUCAGGAUUUUGAGCAUUGCAAUGGAUUUCAUGGUGACAAUGGGGAUUCCAGGGUAACAGGGAGAGAGAGGGAGAGAUGUUCGAUUCGGAUCGAACAACCUUCCUCUUCUUCUAAAGUUGCAGGUUCCAAUUAUUGAAAGGCACGAUCGAUGGCUGGAAAGUUGGAAUAAAGAAAACCUUGGUUUUCUAUAUUGGAGGCGCUCCAAGAUAAAUUGGCAUAACAUAUUUCAGAACCAAUAAGGAAGAACGGCUGCAUUUGGAUCAUUGGGUUCUCUGUCGGAUAUACGAGAAAAGCUUAAGCAUCCAAAAAUCGGUGUCGGGUGUUUGGAAGAAAGAACCGAACCAUGCUUGUACAUCUUCAUCGUCUUCCUAAUUAGAUGACAUCCUUCAAUCGCUCCCUGAAAUUUGAUGACCAGUUCUUCGAUCUCCCAAGGAUUAACUCAAUUGAGAACCUUCAAUUUCAAGAUGAGAAAAAGGCCCACCCCAUUUGAGAAUUACAUGUAUUUCAUGAUCAGAUGAGGAUUUCACCGGUAAUACGGUCUUUCCCUAUUUAAAGCUAAUAGUAUACUCACACAGUCAAUACCAAGGGAAGGGGACGUAAUUCGUUCAAACCCUUGGAUUUAUGUGUAAUUUUGACAUACUACAGGGAGGGGGACGUAAUUUUCUCUAAUUAUUAUAUAUGUGAAAAAAAUGGUUCCUACUCACCAAUAGUAGGAACCUGGACUACAUGCCCACUUUAAAUAUCACCA
Molecule: long non-coding RNA, 814 nt
Organism: Macadamia integrifolia
Lineage: Eukaryota; Viridiplantae; Streptophyta; Magnoliopsida; Proteales; Proteaceae
Exons: 3
Source: RefSeq, a predicted model, not a curated record